Molecule: ribosomal RNA, 725 nt
Filed under: uncultured bacterium
Lineage: Bacteria
Description: bacterial SSU rRNA
Rfam family: Bacterial small subunit ribosomal RNA
Source: RNAcentral
AACAGGAUUAGAUACCCUGGUAGUCCACGCCCUAAACGAUGUCUACUAGUUGUCGGGUCUUAAUUGACUUGGUAACGCAGCUAACGCGUGAAGUAGACCGCCUGGGGAGUACGGUCGCAAGAUUAAAACUCAAAGGAAUUGACGGGGACCCGCACAAGCGGUGGAUGAUGUGGAUUAAUUCGAUGCAACGCGAAAAACCUUACCUACCCUUGACAUGUCAGGAAUCCUUGAGAGAUCGAGGAGUGCCCGAAAGGGAGCCUGAACACAGGUGCUGCAUGGCUGUCGUCAGCUCGUGUCGUGAGAUGUUGGGUUAAGUCCCGCAACGAGCGCAACCCUUGUCAUUAGUUGCUACGAAAGGGCACUCUAAUGAGACUGCCGGUGACAAACCGGAGGAAGGUGGGGAUGACGUCAAGUCCUCAUGGCCCUUAUGGGUAGGGCUUCACACGUCAUACAAUGGUACAUACAGAGGGCCGCCAACCCGCGAGGGGGAGCUAAUCCCAGAAAGUGUAUCGUAGUCCGGAUCGCAGUCUGCAACUCGACUGCGUGAAGUUGGAAUCGCUAGUAAUCGCGGAUCAGCAUGUCGCGGUGAAUACGUUCCCGGGUCUUGUACACACCGCCCGUCACACCAUGGGAGCGGGUUUUACCAGAAGUAGGUAGCUUAACCGCAAGGAGGGCGCUUACCACGGUAGGAUUCGUGACUGGGGUGAAGUCGUAACAAGGUAACC